GGUAGCGUGGCCGAGCGGUUCUAAGGCGCAGAUUUAAGCUUACCGAAAACGUGGUUUCGUAUCCCACCGCUGCCA
This 75-nucleotide transfer RNA is filed under the name Trichonephila clavipes. RNAcentral's name for it is "tRNA-Leu". It matches the Rfam family "tRNA". Rfam says of the family: Transfer RNA (tRNA) molecules are approximately 80 nucleotides in length. Their secondary structure includes four short double-helical elements and three loops (D, anti-codon, and T loops). The record is from RNAcentral. Lineage: Eukaryota; Metazoa; Arthropoda; Arachnida; Araneae; Nephilidae.